RNAcentral lists this ribosomal RNA (329 nucleotides) under uncultured eukaryote. RNAcentral describes it as "partial 18S ribosomal RNA". It matches the Rfam family "Eukaryotic small subunit ribosomal RNA", at positions 1470 to 1796 of the family's 1831-position model. The record is from RNAcentral.
CCCUUAGAUGUCCUGGGCCGCACGCGCGCUACACUGAGUGUCUGAGAUACGAGUCUGCCUGGUCCGGCAAGGUCUAGGUAAUCGCUAAAAGACACAUCAUGCUUGGGAUAGAUUAUUGCAAAUAUUAAUCUUGAACGAGGAAUUCCUAGUAAGCGCAAGUCAGCAGCUUGCGUUUAUUACGUCCCUGCCCUUUGUACACACCGCCCGUCGCUACUACUGAUUGGAUGUUUAAGCGAGGUUCUCGAACUGCUAGCGACUUAGCUUCGGUGAGGUCGCAGUGUGGGAAGUGAACCUAGCUUUGGUGUCUAGAGGAAGUAAAAGUCGUAACA